Molecule: long non-coding RNA, 562 nt
Organism: Pectinophora gossypiella (pink bollworm)
Lineage: Eukaryota; Metazoa; Arthropoda; Insecta; Lepidoptera; Gelechiidae
Exons: 3
Source: RefSeq, a predicted model, not a curated record
CUUUGUCAAACUAUGAACUUAAAACAAGGCUGUAUGUAAGAUGAUCCUUGUCUACGUACUUAGAUGAACCAAAAACAAACAAAUUUAAUGUCAGAUUGACAACUGGAGAGAUCCAUCCGUUGUAUUACGAUUAUUUCGUCGUGAUUAUUAAAGAAAUCAUUGUAAAUAAGAAGAUUCUACCUAGUAAAAACAUAUAAAAGAUGACACAAGAUCGUGUUUAAUACGACUACAGAAUAGUGGGAAACAUAAUGGAAGGAAGACAAAAUAAGAUGCAACGUACGGGUUUUAGCUACAAUAAUUAGUAAGAUUGAAGACUUCUUGACGAUGUUUAUAAUGUAUCCUAUAAAAUAUUCACUCGCCAGAAUCGUCCAAAGAUCCAGGAGGGACAGAUAUCUACUCCAAACCUGGAAUCUGUUGCAGAAUAUUAAAGAAAAUUAUGGGAAAACAAAUUUGAAUGACGGACAGAUUUAGCAAGAUGAAAGAUUUAAGCCUACAAGCAUGCUACUGUUUCUCACAUCAAAGGUACAUUGUUAAUUAUGAACAUCAAUAGUAAAUAAAGCAG